AUGUGGCUAAAUGGUAUAGCAGCUGCUUUGCAGGUAGAAGGUUCCGGGUUCAAAUCCCAGCAUCUAUA
This 68-nucleotide transfer RNA is filed under the name Sphaerodactylus townsendi. RNAcentral describes it as "tRNA-Ala". It matches the Rfam family "tRNA". From Rfam's summary of the family: Transfer RNA (tRNA) molecules are approximately 80 nucleotides in length. Their secondary structure includes four short double-helical elements and three loops (D, anti-codon, and T loops). Lineage: Eukaryota; Metazoa; Chordata; Lepidosauria; Squamata; Sphaerodactylidae. The record is from RNAcentral.